CCUACGGGAGGCAGCAGUGAGGAAUAUUGGUCAAUGGGCGGGAGCCUGAACCAGCCCAGUCGCGUGAGGUAAGACGGUCCUAUGGAUUGUAAACCUCUUUAUGCGGGGAGCAAUGCCGGCCACGUGUGCCCGGAUGGAGAGUACCCGCAGAAUAAGCAUCGGCUAACUCCGUGCCAGCAGCCGCGGUAAUACGGAGGAUGCGGGCUUUAUCCGGAUUUUUUGGGUUUAAAGGGUGCGCAGGCGGAUCUUUAAGUCAGCGGUAAAAUGUCCGGGCUCAACCCGGGCCAGCCGUUGAAACUGGGGAUCUUGAGUGGGCGAGAAGUAUGCGGAAGGCGUGGUGUAGCGGUGAAAUGCAUAGAUAUCACGCAGAACUCCGAUUGCGAAGGCAGCAUACCGGCGCCCGACUGACGCUGAGGCACGAAAGCGUGGGGAUCGAACAGGAUUAGAUACCCGAGUAGUC
Molecule: ribosomal RNA, 460 nt
Filed under: uncultured bacterium
Lineage: Bacteria
Description: partial 16S ribosomal RNA
Rfam family: Bacterial small subunit ribosomal RNA
Source: RNAcentral